GGCUUUGUAGCUCAACUCGGGAGAGCGCGAUCCUCGUAAGAUCGAGUGUGGGGGUUCGAGUCCCUCCGAAGCCU
Molecule: transfer RNA, 74 nt
Filed under: Halorarum halophilum
Lineage: Archaea; Methanobacteriati; Methanobacteriota; Halobacteria; Halobacteriales; Haloferacaceae
Description: Halobaculum halophilum tRNA
Rfam family: tRNA
About the family: Transfer RNA (tRNA) molecules are approximately 80 nucleotides in length. Their secondary structure includes four short double-helical elements and three loops (D, anti-codon, and T loops).
Source: Rfam by way of RNAcentral